AUGUACCCCUCACACUCCGGUUCCUCCGCGCCGGCCGCACCCACCUGACAACAACUGCUCGCCACGUUUGUUAGCU
Molecule: small RNA, 76 nt
Filed under: Xanthomonas campestris
Lineage: Bacteria; Pseudomonadati; Pseudomonadota; Gammaproteobacteria; Lysobacterales; Lysobacteraceae
Also listed under: 6 other names
Description: sX9 sRNA
Rfam family: Xanthomonas sRNA sX9
Source: RNAcentral